This is a non-coding RNA of Dipodomys ordii (Ord's kangaroo rat), 72 nucleotides long. The record is from Rfam. NCBI's taxonomy places the organism in Eukaryota, Metazoa, Chordata, Mammalia, Rodentia, Heteromyidae.
GUGGAUAUGGCUCAGUGGUAGAGUGCUUGCCUAGCACCCAUGAAGCCUUGGGUUUGAUUCCCCAGUACCACA